Molecule: long non-coding RNA, 618 nt
Organism: Trifolium pratense (red clover)
Lineage: Eukaryota; Viridiplantae; Streptophyta; Magnoliopsida; Fabales; Fabaceae
Exons: 3
Source: RefSeq, a predicted model, not a curated record
CCUAAUCUUCUCGAACUCGUUCUCUCUCUCUCUCUCACACUCUCUCGAACCCUAGCCUCCAAUCCCUAAUUGAAGAUCAAGGCUUCCUGAACGCGAGGCACAGAUUAAAUUUCAUCUUUGUUUUCACGAUUUCCCUCAAAACAAAACCCAGAUCCUCUUCCCUGCCAUAAUUUUUCUUCGCCUUUAUUCGUCUUCAUCAUAGCUUCUGCCACCGCAGUUCCUCUUGUCGCCACCAUAUCUCUUCCUCAACGAAGAUGAAAAUGAUGAUUACUAAAUUAUAAAUGAAGCAUAUGUGUGAUCCAUUCAGCAUCAGUUCCUUCAAUCUGAGCAAACAAAGAGUUCAGCGUAUGUAUACAUCUAACCCCAUCUUUCACAAAUGGACAGAACAUAUUGAGAUUGAUUGUCAAUGGUAUUCUGGGUUUGUGAACUUUUUGUUAAUCUUUCACUUAAUAAUUAAACUUGUAGCUAUUGCGGUAUACAUUUAAUGAUACUAUAGUAAUAUACAUUUUAUAUGCAUCAUGGUUUUAAGUGUAUGAUACACUUAAAACUGAUACUAGUAGUAUACAUUUUAUAUGCUGGCCUUUUCUUUUCUUUGCUUACAAAGGUGAUUGUACCUGA